AAGACCCUAUGGAGCUUUAGACGUCAGAGCAGCCCAUGUAAAGCACCCCUUAACAAAGGAAAAAACCAAAUGAAGCCUGCCCUAAUGUCUUUGGUUGGGGCGACCGCGGGGAAAUACAAAACCCCCAUGUGGAGUAGGAAUACACAUUCCUAAACCCAAGAGCUCCCGCUCUAAUGAACAGAAAUUCUGACCAAUAAGAUCCGGCACACGCCGAUCAACGGACCGAGUUACCCUAGGGAUAACAGCGCAAUCCCCUUAAAGAGCCCUUAUCGACAAGGGGGUUUACGACCUCGAUGUUGGAUCAGGACAUCCUAAUGGUGCAGCCGCUAUUAAGGGUUCG
RNAcentral lists this ribosomal RNA (340 nucleotides) under Pagrus major (red seabream). RNAcentral describes it as "partial 16S ribosomal RNA". It matches the Rfam family "Bacterial large subunit ribosomal RNA", at positions 2085 to 2575 of the family's 2925-position model. The record is from RNAcentral. Lineage: Eukaryota; Metazoa; Chordata; Actinopteri; Spariformes; Sparidae.